This 506-nucleotide ribosomal RNA is filed under the name uncultured bacterium. RNAcentral's name for it is "partial 16S ribosomal RNA". It matches the Rfam family "Bacterial small subunit ribosomal RNA", at positions 28 to 523 of the family's 1533-position model. The record is from RNAcentral.
GAUGAACGCUAGCUACAGGCUUAACACAUGCAAGUCGAGGGGUAACGAGAGGAAAGCUUGCUUUCCUUGUCGACGACCGGCGCACGGGUGAGUAACGCGUAUCCAACCUGCCCCCAACUAGGGAAUAACCUUGCGAAAGUAAGACUAAUACCCUAUAAUUUCCUCAGAUGUCAUCUGACGAGGAAUAAAGAUUUAUCGGUUGUGGAUGGGGAUGCGUCUGAUUAGCUUGUUGGCGGGGUAACGGCCCACCAAGGCAACGAUCAGUAGGGGUUCUGAGAGGAAGGUCCCCCACAUUGGAACUGAGACACGGUUCAAACUCCUACGGGAGGCAGCAGUGAGGAAUAUUGGUCAAUGGGCGGAAGCCUGAACCAGCCAAGUAGCGUGCAGGAUGACGGCCCUAUGGGUUGUAAACUGCUUUUAUACAGGAAUAAAGUUAGCCACGUGUGGUUAUUUGUAGGUACUGUAUGAAUAAGGACCGGCUAAUUCCAUGCCAGCAGCCGCUGUAA